RNAcentral lists this unclassified non-coding RNA (330 nucleotides) under Hevea brasiliensis (rubber tree). Lineage: Eukaryota; Viridiplantae; Streptophyta; Magnoliopsida; Malpighiales; Euphorbiaceae. The record is from RNAcentral.
GUUAGUAUCGUACAAACAUUGUGGCAGGGAGACCAAGCAUCCUGAAUAAUAUCCAUGCAUAGUGUGCCAUCAUUAUAAACAUUAGGAUGAAACAUCUCCGACGUAAACCGCACCCGAGGGGGCUUCGCCGGAUAAUUAUCCCCGAACGUCAGCCUCAGCCCGAACACCCCGCCUUCCCACGCAGUCUCGUCCGGCCCAAAUAUUGUCGCGCUCCACACGAACAAAUUCUCAUCGGACAUCGGGCUGGCGCUGCACCCCUCCGGGGGCUCGUUCCGGAUCGCCUUGAGAUCGGACAUGAGGCGGAGCUGGGCCGACGAUGCCAUGAAAGAG